UUUGGUCACCCAUCUGUGUAACCAGAGGCAGAAAGGAACCACUUGGUUUAGAACACAAGGCAGAGGCAUAAGGUGGGGAGAGUCCCCAAAGCUGCUCCCUGGUUUCAUCUAGGCCCUCGUCUUUCACAUUUAGUGAUGGAAUUCUCCCUGUCAGAGCCAUGGUUUUCAUAACCCUAAAACCAGAGCUGUGCGGCCUCAGGGUGGGCAGCAGAGAUUCCUGUGGCAGCUUCUUCUGAGCCCUGGUGGAUGGGAGGACAGACGGCAAGGGGGGUGGAAAGGGACAACUCCAGCCCUCACUAGUGACUUGGGGGUGGAGUGAGGAUACAAUUCUCAUGUCCUUUAUGGGUGAGUUUCUCAAAGCUCAACUCUGGCUGAAACUACGGAGCCAAACCAAAUCCCUGCCUUGUGGGAAGCGAUGAUUUAGCCACUUUCAGCUUUUGUUCAAACCCUCCUGAAAGGGAGCCGCCCUGUACCACACGGAACUUCAGGGAAGCGCAUGCCCUCCCCAGAAAUGACAAAUGGAAAAGACAGAACGGUCUCCGGCCAGGCCAGGAUACAGUCUCUGGAAAGAGAAACUUCCGUACCCUCUUCCUGUGUCCCUACAAAAGCCUGGACAAUGCCGUCCCAGCCCUGCUGCAGAACAUGGGCAGGCCCCACCUUCCUCCUUCCUGCGGGGAUAUCCUUUCCUAUAGAAGAGGUAAGAAUGUAAGGUUCAUGUGAAAAUGUGAUUAUAUUCCUUAUCUCAGUCAUUUCACGAUUUGCUGUUUGGCGACAAUAAGUCAGCCUGGCCACAUUCACAAUAGAGGUGGCCCCGGUUCCUAGUUUUGGCUUGUGCUGUUUUCUCAGCUGAAGAGGGCAACCGGCUGUUAAAAACGCUGCCUGUUUUCCAGGAUCUUAUCAGGAGUUCAUGUCUAAGGCCAGAAAGAGAAGGGAGGGCUCCAUUUUUUUCCUCUCUCCUCAUUGUUUCCAACUGAAUUGGCAGGAAAUGGGAGUCCUCCACCUGUCCCUCUCGGGAGCAAAAUUGAUUCGAUUCCAUUUUUCAGAUGUAUCCGCUACCACCAGAAGUUGGGGACAUUUCCGCUCACCCCAAAACGAAUGCAUUCCUGGAUUGACAUAAAUGACAUCUUUCAGAAUUGCGAAUUAAUCACAUUUAAAUGGGGAUCUUUGGGGUGGGGGAGUGGUGUCAAUUGCCCCACAGAAUCUCAGGUUUGCUUUUUGUUCUCGUUCACCCUUUGGUGAAGUGCCUUUUGGGGCUGUGAGGCUUGACUGACUUCAACAAGUUUGUGUGAAUGUGGUGUGUGUUUGUGUGUAGUGUGUGUAGUUUGCAUGUACCAUCGAUGGCGUGGACACUCAGAGAACUGAAAUCCUUCGCGCAGGGUCUCACAUAAAUCGAAACUGUUCCCUUUCACAGCUGCCUUAGAGCAUAUGUUUCAGGCAGGGUAAUACAGGAUCCAGACAGAAGCUAAGUCCAUGUCCAUUUCUCAAGACUCAUAGUGUGUUUGUGGUUGACCUAGUAUUUUCCACUUAACCCAGUUCAGCCAAUUCAGCCAAUUUGAACCAAAAUCACAGUCCGUCUAGAUGCUUUAUUUCAUCUAAAAACAACCCCAGAUGAUUCUAUUUUGAGGGGAUCAAUCAUUUUACUACCUAGAGGAAAAGCUUAAACAUAGGAAUUAUAUAAACCACAGUAUUCCAUAAACAGGAGGACCUUCCUACUCAAUGUCAACACUUCAUCUUGGAUCUUAGACUCAGAAACCGGGCAGUUACUAGAAGGAGCCCUGAAACAAUCCAUUUCCAACUACCCUCAAGAGCACAAGAAGCAGAAACAGCAUUUUGAUUCCACCCUAGCAGGGUCCUGGUUUUCCCAGGUCACAUUAUCCUCAAUCUAGGGUCCCGGCUAAGAUCAAAGAUUAUGCUUCUGCCCCAUCUUGUUUAGGAACUCCAGCUCCUCACACCCACUGCAACCAUGGUGGCUGCCUGUGGCUCUUCUGCUGUGUGAGGAUAUUUGCAGGCAGGGCAAAAUGUUCCAGACUCCUUCCUCCCUGAGGUAUCUGUGCUCCCAGACCUCCUGCUUCUUGACCCCCUGGGCUGCAUUUGAUGGGAGCCACCCGCCUCUGCCCCACUCAUGCUCAUCCUUAGGUACCCAACUGAUGUUCCAAAUAUGGAAGUCAGUAGAUAGGCCAAAAGCCACAUAGAUAGAAAGGGUGUUUCCAUGCAAGUGAGACAACCAACUUAAAAUCAGCCUCUCCGAAAUGAGACCUGUGGGAGAAAAAUAUUUUAACAUCCUUGUAUUGUAUGAACCAAUGCUUUCCUUCAACCCCAACGUUUCCUUUCUCUCCUUGGUGCUUGCCCAGGUCCCUAUGCCCUUUGAAGCAGUUGGGCUCUUCUGCACCGACUGCCUCAGAGAAAGGAUGUAACAAUGGAAAACAGAACCGGGAAAAGAAUUCCUGACUUUUGAAUUUCAAAAGCUUAGUUCAUUAGGGAAAUGGAAAAGACUCAGAAAGGAUUAAACACUGGGCAGAAGUAUUGCGAGUGAGAACCAAAUUCCUUGCUAGCUCUACCACCUGAGCUUCAAGGACUGUAGAUAUCCAGUAGGGAUGGGAACUGAUGGGGACGGGGGCGAGAGGGUCAGAUCUGAAGAAACUCCAGGGGCAUGAGGCAGACCCAGCAUCCAUGGACAACCCAAUAUCCACUCACAUGAGCCUGUGCACCACCCACGCAUCGGGGCUGCACUGGUUGUCUUGUCCUUUGGCAUCCAGUGAGGACCUCCCAGGAUGGCUGUUGGCAUUUUUCUCACUGACCAUUUAGCAGGAAUAACAACUGUCUUUGCCUCCAAACCUGGCUAUGUUUCAGUUGAGAAGACUGAUUCCAUGCAGUCAACCUAAUAUGC
Long non-coding RNA from Macaca mulatta (Rhesus monkey), 2887 nucleotides. NCBI's taxonomy places the organism in Eukaryota, Metazoa, Chordata, Mammalia, Primates, Cercopithecidae. The record is from Ensembl.